GGGGACGACUGGUUUUGACAGCAAGGACAGUUGAUUUGUAAGCAUAUCAAGGAUUGAAAUUACACUUGUAAAACUAUUUCAACUUUUUAAACGGCGAAGAUAACUACGCUUUAGCUGCAUAAUUCGAAUCACAGUAGAAUUUGCCUAGGCUCACAAGGUGAGCAAGCUUUAUGUCCACGAAAAGCCUUGAUUUACGGCGUUUCACUUUUGGAUAUCGUAAAAGUAAAUAUAGAAAACCUGAAGCUUUGGUGGGUUUUUGAAACUAAAGAAGAUAAGUUAAAAGUGGAUUGUUCUUAAUCAGCUUUUAAACGAAAACCAAGAAAGAACUAAGUAUGUAGAAAGCUUUUUAGCUGCUUGUUUGGACCCGAGUUCGAUUCUCGGCGUCUCCACUU
This is a non-coding RNA of Polaribacter sp., 392 nucleotides long. It matches the Rfam family "transfer-messenger RNA". From Rfam's summary of the family: Bacterial tmRNA, also known as 10Sa RNA or SsrA, is named for its dual tRNA and mRNA-like properties. Lineage: Bacteria; Pseudomonadati; Bacteroidota; Flavobacteriia; Flavobacteriales; Flavobacteriaceae. The record is from Rfam.